This is a long non-coding RNA of Coffea eugenioides, 326 nucleotides long. RefSeq lists it as uncharacterized. The transcript has 2 exons. The record is from RefSeq and is a predicted model, not a curated record. NCBI's taxonomy places the organism in Eukaryota, Viridiplantae, Streptophyta, Magnoliopsida, Gentianales, Rubiaceae.
CAGAGACUUACUUCAUCCUGAAAAUGAACUGGUACAAAAGAAGAUUAACUGCAUAUCAUCUGUCUUGCAACUUGGUUUAAGUUGUACAACAGAUGCCCCUGAGGAGAGAAUAGACAUGAAAGAAGUUCUAAGAGCGCUACAGAAGAUCAAACUCCAGUUUAUCAAAGACAUCACACCUUGAAGCAGAGCCCUGAGGUGCAAAUGUAUUUGAGGAAUUUUUUGUCCUGACUUGGUGCACCACCGAAAUGCUUAAAGUUCAAGGAAGGAAUGAGAUAUGUUAAUGUAUUACCAAUAAAUUGUUUACAGACAUAAAGACCUCAAGUUCA